AGAAGCAGAAGAAGAGAAGAAAGAAGAAGCAGAAGAAAAAAAGGAAAAAACAGACGAGAAGAAGCAAAAGAAGAAGAAGAAGAAGAAGAAAGAGAAGUUGAGAAGAGAGAGAAAGGACCACAUACCUGCAAAGCCAUCGUGAGCCUCUCUCUUGAUUGGAGCCGACUCCCGCUGCUGAUUCCGUCUCUAAGAAGAGCCUUCGGUCGAUUGUUUCUCCUCGGCAAGGAUGGAUGUUGAUCGAUUGGUGUUGAUUCUCCCGUUCUAUUAAACUCGUGGACGUGUUUUUCUCAACAUCGGGGGAAUUGAUGUAGAUGCGCACCCAUGGAGCGAUCCAUACCCAUAUGGGUAUCCAACAAGAGAUUACCAGAUCCAUAUUGAGUCCUUAGUCAAGUAAGAUUUUAGUAGUUUAUUUUAUUUAUGAGACUAAUAUCUUUAGUUUAUUUUAUUUUGUUUAUUUUUGAGAAGUUGCAUGCAUGGGACAUAGUUAGAAUUGGUUUAGGAUUUCUUUUCAUUUUGAGUUAGUUUCCUUUUAGGAUUUUUUUCCAUGUUAGAGUUUUUCAAUUUCCUAUUUAUAUGCUUGUAAUCGAUUGAAAAAGACAGAUUGAAAAGAUGAAUUGAGUUUGAGUAUUUGUAGAGCCUGCGGGCAUGUGUGAGUGAUUCUCCUUUUUCCCCCCUUCUUAAUGUGAUUUCUCCCUCUCCCCUACAACUCUGAGACCUCUCUCAAGGAUUUCUUCCCUUUCCCUAUUGGCCCUCCAUCACAAUGUCUGGUGGGAUGAGCUGAGCCUUCAAGCAUUGACAUAGCUGUUUAGCUACAUGAAAUUUAGUUUGCUAGUGUUGGCUAGGCUCAUUAAAAUGUUGAAAUCCAAG
Molecule: long non-coding RNA, 867 nt
Organism: Macadamia integrifolia
Lineage: Eukaryota; Viridiplantae; Streptophyta; Magnoliopsida; Proteales; Proteaceae
Exons: 2
Source: RefSeq, a predicted model, not a curated record